AUGGUACGCAUGCAUGCUACCAGCGGCGACGCUAGGCUUAGGCGAAGCCCCAGGCCAUCCCAGGCAGCCUUUGUGCACGGUAGCAUUGUAGCUACGGUAUUCGCUACAGUGCACAAAGGAAACUGGUCUCAGGCCCCAGGCAGCAGCCCGGGCUGCCUGGGGCAUGUCUCCACCACUGCAUGCUACAAAGUUGUGAUGACAAAUUUCUCGACGCUGGUCAUGCCGGACUUUGUGGAGAAAAGUUGUGUGAUGUGCUCAUGCAGUUUAUACCUUAUCGUGCUGAUAUGCAUCUUGAGUUCCCUUGUAAUCAUGCUUAUAUUAUAUGACAUGAAUGCAUGCGUGUUGAACGAUAGACCCAUUCUCCUCCUCCUCUCCACUCUUUCCACCAUUGAAAAUCUUCUGAGUGUUAUGCCCGGCUCGUUCCCUUUCUUCACACGGCUAGCCGGAGUAGAGAAGGGCGAGGCGCCUAGAGAUCCAUUGGUCCUCCUUGCAAACUUCAAGGACCGUGUAUCCCCGCUGAUAAUAAUGUGCUCUCGGGGCCCUUGGAUGCCCUCCCUUCUUCCAUCCGAGAAAAAUACAGUGGGCCAAUCAUGCAUCAAAGCUAGAUCAAAGAUUGAUGAUCAUAUUACUUUAUUUCCUUUGUUUGAUGUGGUCCACAACUUCAUGCGUGUUGUAUGCACACGUUAUUUGGUUGAGCCUCGUAAAUUUAUACUUGGACCUGAAUGUGGCUUCUACACUGGACCUGAUCUCUGGUCCGUCCAUUCUCGAUGCUUCAGCCACCUCCGAUCAACUUCCGAUUUCUCUGAAGGCCCAGCAAGUGAGAGAAAGAAGACAAUGGAGCAGAUGUACAGCAACAGAGGAGAUCCGACUCAUCAUCAUAAUGGACAAUCCCCAGGGGUCAACAAACUGAACUUCGGCAAGCAUGUUACCUGCAUUUGCAAGGCAAGUAGACAGCUUUCUUGUGACAUAAAUGCACAUCGGGGUAGCGAAAAGCAUCAAGUGCUUAACCUGAAGCUAAAUGCAUUUAUGCCGGAAAAGAAUGGAAUUUUCACUCUCCAUGGCGCGUAUAGACUAGCCAUGGAUGAAAAGAAAUCUAAAAUGAUUGGACCCAACCACAGUAUCCCAGGAGACCAAAGUAUUAGGAACCCUAUCUGGAAAACAAAUGUCCCCCAAAAAGUGCAUAUUUUUACGUGGAGGCUAGCAACUCAAUCCCUUGCGGUUCAAACUAACAGAUUUAGACGUAUCCCGGGCCUCACUCCAAUUUGUAAUGUUUGCGGUGCUGAUGACGAAACAGGAUUCCAUGUUGCGCAGCGAUGUACGUUUGCGAGAGCCCUUUGGCAUGAGUUGAAGGACGUGGACAAGGUCAAUGUCGAUGAAAGUUUCUUGCUGGAGAGCAGCAGUGGAGCAUGGGGAGUCGUGGUUCGACAUCAUGAUGGGAGAAUUAUCUUAUCGGCCUCGGACUAUAUUCCGCGAUGCAAAGGAGCAGAUUUUGCAGAAGCUAUUUCUUGUCUAGAAGGACUACAGAAAGCGAUGUCGGGUACAAACCUACCUCUAGUUAUUGAGAAGGACAACAGCAUGGUGGCAAUGGUACUCGACCUCUCAUGUAUGGUUAGAUCGAAAAUCAGAGUGAUUGCGAGGGAAUUUCAAGCCAUCAAGCAAGGAAGCAGAGAAGUUAAAGUUCGUAAAGUAGAUAGAAGAGUCAACAGUUUAGCCCAUAGUCUUGCCCAGUUUGGGCGUAGAGAGUUACAUGGUGGUUUAUGCAAGGGACAGUGCCAACCUGCGUUUGAGCGUGGCCUUUCGAGAUUGUAA
RNAcentral lists this ribosomal RNA (1809 nucleotides) under Triticum aestivum (bread wheat). RNAcentral describes it as "partial small subunit ribosomal RNA". Lineage: Eukaryota; Viridiplantae; Streptophyta; Magnoliopsida; Poales; Poaceae. The record is from RNAcentral.